GUGCGGUUAAAAGUUACAAUGCUGAAAAGGGGAGGGCUAACAAAAUGCCUAAAUUAAGACUACUCCCGGGCGUACCUAAACAACCGGGUGGAAUUGAGUGUGGCUACUAUGUUAUGCGGUACAUGAAGGAUAUUAUUAAUGAUGACACACUUUCCUUUUCGACCAAGUGGGCGGUAAAGACUCGGAAAGGAUAUACCCAACAACAACUUGACGAGGUGCGCAUGGAGGUGGCCGACUACUUGCAGACCUUGUUGUAGAUU
Molecule: long non-coding RNA, 260 nt
Organism: Rosa chinensis
Lineage: Eukaryota; Viridiplantae; Streptophyta; Magnoliopsida; Rosales; Rosaceae
Exons: 3
Source: RefSeq, a predicted model, not a curated record